CCUACGGGAGGCAGCAGUCGAGAAUCAUUCACAAUGGGGGAAACCCUGAUGGUGCGACGCCGCGUGGGGGAAUGAAGGUCUUCGGAUUGUAAACCCCUGUCAUGUGGGAGCAAAUUCAAAAGAUAGUACCACAAGAGGAAGAGACGGCUAACUCUGUGCAAGCAGCCGCGGUAAUACAGAGGUCUCAAGCGUUGUUCGGAAUCACUGGGCGUAAGGCGUGCGUAGGCUGUUUCGUAAGUCGUGUGUGAAAGGCGCGGGCUCAACCCGCGGACGGCACAUGAUACUGCGAGACUAGAGUAAUGAAGGGGGAAGCGGAAUUCUCGGUGUAGCAGUGAAAUGCGUAGAGAUAGGGAGGAACACUCGUGGCGAAGGCGGGUUCCUGGACAUUAACUGACGCUGAGGCACGAAGGCCAGGGGAGCGAAAGGGAUUAGAUACCCUUGUAGUC
This 446-nucleotide ribosomal RNA is filed under the name uncultured bacterium. RNAcentral describes it as "partial 16S ribosomal RNA". It matches the Rfam family "Bacterial small subunit ribosomal RNA", at positions 338 to 795 of the family's 1533-position model. The record is from RNAcentral.